AUGCAGAGGGUGCAAGCGUUAAUCGGAUUUACUGGGCGUAAAGCGCGCGUAGGCGGCUAAUUAAGUCAAAUGUGAAAUCCCCGAGCUUAACUUGGGAAUUGCAUUCGAUACUGGCUGACUCGAGGACAGGAGGGGUGAGUGGAACUCCAGGUGGAACGGUGAAAUGUGUAGAUAUCAGGAGGAACACCGGUGGCGAAAGCGGCUCACUGGCCUGUCUCUGACGCUGAGGUGCGAAAGCUAGGGUAGCGAACGGGAUUAGAUACCCCAGUAGUCC
RNAcentral lists this ribosomal RNA (274 nucleotides) under uncultured bacterium. RNAcentral describes it as "partial 16S ribosomal RNA". It matches the Rfam family "Bacterial small subunit ribosomal RNA", at positions 523 to 796 of the family's 1533-position model. The record is from RNAcentral.